UACCAGCUCUCCGAGUGGUAGGGAUGAUUAUUGGGCUUAAAGCGUCCGUAGCCGGCUUAGCAAGUCUCCUGUUAAAUUCAGCGACCUAAUCGUUGAGCCGCGGGAGAUACUACUAGGCUAGGAGGCGGGAGAGGUCAACGGUACUUCCGGGGUAGGGGUGAAAUCCUAUAAUCCCGGGAGGACCACCAUUGGCGAAGGCUGUUGACUAGAACGCGCUCGACGGUGAGGGACGAAAGCUGGGGGAGCGAACCGGAUUAGAUACCCGGGUAGUCCCAGCUGUAAACGAUGCGAGCUAGGUGUUGGGGUGGCUACGUGCCACUUCAGUGCCGCAGGGAGCCAUUAAGCUCGCCGCCUGGGGAGUACGGCCGCAAGGCUAGAAACUUAAAGGAAUUGGCGGGGGAGCACCACAAGGCGUGAAGCUUGCGGUUC
This 429-nucleotide ribosomal RNA is filed under the name uncultured archaeon. RNAcentral describes it as "bacterial SSU rRNA". It matches the Rfam family "Archaeal small subunit ribosomal RNA", at positions 474 to 903 of the family's 1478-position model. The record is from RNAcentral.